GACGAACGCUGGCGGCGUGCUUAACACAUGCAAGUCGAACGAAGUGGCGAACGGGUGAGUAACGCGUAAUCAACCUGCCCUUCAGAGGGGGACAACAGUUGGAAACGACUGCUAAUACCGCAUACUGAAGGAGGGUAUUGCGUUUGAUUGGCUGGUUGGAGGGGUAACGGCCCACCAAGGCGAUGAUCAGUAGCCGGGCUGGGAGGAUGAACGGCCACAUUGGGACUGAGACACGGCCCAGACCCCUACGGGAGGCAGCAGUGGGGAAUCGUCCGGAAUGGACGAAAGUCUGACGGAGCAACGCCGCGUGAGUGAUGACGGCCUUCGGGUUGUAAAGCUCUGUUAAUCGGGACGCGGUACCGGAAUAGAAAGCCACGGCUAACUACGUGCCAGCAGCCGCGGUAAUUC
RNAcentral lists this ribosomal RNA (408 nucleotides) under uncultured bacterium. RNAcentral describes it as "partial 16S ribosomal RNA". It matches the Rfam family "Bacterial small subunit ribosomal RNA", at positions 28 to 526 of the family's 1533-position model. The record is from RNAcentral.